RNAcentral lists this long non-coding RNA (852 nucleotides) under Homo sapiens (human). RNAcentral describes it as "non-protein coding lnc-DOK5-2:2". Lineage: Eukaryota; Metazoa; Chordata; Mammalia; Primates; Hominidae. The record is from RNAcentral.
UCGAGGCAUUUUUUAAUUAAAUUUUUUGACUAAUAUGUGGUGUUCAUACAUUUGUAUGGUAGUAUAGGGAAGUAUCACAAACUCAAACCCUUUCAGGGGAUCCUGCAGUUAACAUAUGUGAAUGAAACAGCUAUAUUAAAAUGUAUCCAUCGUCUUUUAAACACAAUGGCAUCAUUCUUUAAGCACAUCAUCUUAAAGAAAGAAAGAAAGGGAAAAUGAGAUGGAAGGAGGCCGGCUGGAAAAAAAGAGAAAAAUAUUCAGGUUAAAUUUUCUAAUAGAUGCAUCAUACACAGGGUAGUAUAUUUAUGGAAAACUGCUCCCAAAUUCAGGUUGCAAGUGAGUGCUAAGGUGACUUUAAAAAAAUUAUUAUUUUUAUUUUGUAAAGACUUGUACCUAUACCAAAUCAUUUCCUCCCCUAUUACAAAUGCUUGCCUACAAUAUCCUUUGGUGAAUAAUAGUGCAAUUCAAAUGACAUCUAAUCAGAACAUCGUUUUCAUAAUUGAUCUGAUAUUUGCAGUGCCUUUUCUUAAUCUUUGAGGAUGUUUUGUAGCAGGGACUCUGCCUAUCUGUUUGAAUUAAAUAGGAGAAAUGGAAGUAUCAGCUCUUAGAUAACAAUGGAUUUAAAAUCAGAAAGUAGAUAUAAUGCAAAUGAUGGCUUAUUUUUAAUUUGUGCCUCUGAGAAAAAGAUUUUUAUCAUGGUGCAAACAAAACUUGCAUAAGUUAUGAAAUGCAUUAUUUAAAACUAGCUUGUUUUCUCUUAAUGAAUUACAAACAUGUGUAUUUGCUUAUGAUAUUUAGCCUGAAAAGUUUUAAACAGGAGUUGUACAUUGUUUUUCCUCCUUCUUUAAUGUU